UGAGGAAUAUUGGACAAUGGGCGGGAGCCUGAUCCAGCCAUGCCGCGUGCAGGAAGACCGCCCUAUGGGUCGUAAACUGCUUUUGUACGGGAAGAACCGGGGGCACGUGUGCCCUUCUGACGGUACCGUAAGAAUAAGGAUCGGCUAACUCCGUGCCAGCAGCCGCGGUAAUACGGAGGAUCCGAGCGUUAUCCGGAAUUAUUGGGUUUAAAGGGUCCGUAGGCGGGCCGUUAAGUCAGGGGUGAAAGUCUGCGGCUCAACCGUAGCAAUGCCCUUGAUACUGGCGGCCUCGAGUUAUGGUGAAGUGGCUAGAAUAUGUGGUGUAGCGGUGAAAUGCAUAGAUAUCACAUGGAAUACCGAUUGCGAAGGCAGGCCACUAACCAUAUACUGACGCUGAUGGACGAAAGCGUGGGGAGCGAACA
Molecule: ribosomal RNA, 422 nt
Filed under: uncultured Flavobacteriaceae bacterium
Lineage: Bacteria; Pseudomonadati; Bacteroidota; Flavobacteriia; Flavobacteriales; Flavobacteriaceae
Description: bacterial SSU rRNA
Rfam family: Bacterial small subunit ribosomal RNA
Source: RNAcentral